This 328-nucleotide unclassified non-coding RNA is filed under the name soil metagenome. RNAcentral's name for it is "partial contains 5.8S ribosomal RNA, internal transcribed spacer 2, and large subunit ribosomal RNA". The stretch from base 1 to 120 matches the Rfam family "5.8S ribosomal RNA", at positions 35 to 154 of the family's 154-position model. The record is from RNAcentral.
GAUGAAGAACGUAGCGAAAUGCGAUAAGUAGUGUGAAUUGCAGAAUUCAGUGAAUCAUCGAAUCUUUGAACGCACAUUGCGCCCCUUGGUAUCCCGAGGGGCAUGCCUGUUCGAGCGUCAUUUCACCACUCAAGCCUGGCUUGGUGUUGGGCGACGUCCCCUUUGGGGACGCGCCUCGAAACGCUCGGCGGCGUGGCACCGGCUUUAAGCGUAGCAGAAUCUUUCGCUUUGGAAGUCGGGGCCCCGUCUGCCGGAAGACCUACUCGCAAGGUUGACCUCGGAUCAGGCAGGGAUACCCGCUGAACUUAAGCAUAUCAAUAACGGAGGA